UUGACUGGGGCGGUCGCCUCCCAAAAGGUAACGGAGGCGCCCAAAGGUUCCCUCAGCGCGGGUGGAAAUCGCGCGUUAGAGUGCAAAGGCAAAAGGGAGCUUGACAGCGAGACCAACAAGUCGAGCUGGUACGAAAGUAGGGCUUAGUGAUCCGGCGGUUCUGAGUGGAAGGGCCGUCGCUCAACGGAUAAAAGCUACCCCGGGGAUAACAGGCUUAUCUCCCCCAAGAGUCCACAUCGACGGGGAGGUU
RNAcentral lists this non-coding RNA (250 nucleotides) under Desulforamulus aeronauticus DSM 10349. RNAcentral's name for it is "Desulfotomaculum aeronauticum DSM 10349 23S rRNA. Bacterial LSU". It matches the Rfam family "Bacterial large subunit ribosomal RNA", at positions 2270 to 2518 of the family's 2925-position model. The record is from RNAcentral. Lineage: Bacteria; Bacillati; Bacillota; Clostridia; Eubacteriales; Peptococcaceae.